GAGGGUGUAGCUCAAGUGGUAGAGCGCAUGCUCAGUAUUCAUGAGGUUCUGGGUUCAAUCCUCAGUACCACCA
This 73-nucleotide transfer RNA is filed under the name Camelus dromedarius (Arabian camel). It matches the Rfam family "tRNA". Rfam says of the family: Transfer RNA (tRNA) molecules are approximately 80 nucleotides in length. Their secondary structure includes four short double-helical elements and three loops (D, anti-codon, and T loops). RNAcentral also lists the same sequence under 1 other name. Lineage: Eukaryota; Metazoa; Chordata; Mammalia; Artiodactyla; Camelidae. The record is from Rfam by way of RNAcentral.